UUAAGCUAAGAAGAGCGUAGGGAGAAUGCCUUGGCAUUAGGAGCCGACGAAGGACGUGAUAAGCUGCGAUAAGCUGCGGGGAUCAGCAAGUAUGAAUUGAUCCGCAGAUUUCCGAAUGGAGCAAUCCGUAUGUGUAUGCACAUACAUCAUAUACUGAAUCAAAUAGGUAUAUGAGGGGAACCGCCUGAACUGAAACAUCUAAGUAGGGCGAGGAAGAGAAAUCAACCGAGAUUCUGUGAGUAGUGGCGAGCGAAAGCGGAAGAGGCUAAACCAUAGGUAGCAAUACUUAUGGGGUUUCGGACAGCAUUUAGUAUUGAUAAUUUCUAGUUGAAACGUGUGGGAAAACGUACCGAAGAGUGUGAGAGUCACGUAAGCGAAAGAGAGAAUCAGCGAGCUGUAUCCAAAGUACCGCGGGACACGUGAAACCCCGUGGGAAGAUGGGGGGACCAUCCUCCAAGCCUAAAUACUACCUAAUGACCGAUAGCGAAUAGUACUGUGAAGGAACGGUGAAAAGAACCCCGGGAGGGGAGUGAAAAAGAACCUGAAACCCUAUGCUUACAAGCACCGAGAGCACGUCAAAGUGUGAUCGGGUACCUUUUGUAGAAUGGUCCGGCGAGUUAUUGUAUGCGGCAAGGUUAAGUGCUUAAGGCACGGAGCCGAAGCGAGAGCAAGUCUGAACAGGGCGAAAAAGUCGUAUGCAAUAGACCCGAAACCGAGUGACCUAUCCAUGUCCAGGCUGAAGUGGAGGUAAAACUCCAUGGAGGGCCGAACACACGUCCGUUGAAAAGGCCGGUGAUGAGGUGUGGAUAGCGGAGAAAUUCCAAUCGAACUCGGAUAUAGCUGGUUCUCUCCGAAAUAGCUUUAGGGCUAGCCUCGUGAAAGAUUACUGGAGGUAAAGCACUGAAUGGGCUAGGGGUCGAAAGAUUACUGAACCCUAUCAAACUAAGAAUGCCAGAUAAUUGAUUCACGGGAGUCAGACAAUGUGAGAUAAGUCUCAUUGUCAAAAGGGAAACAGCCCAGACCCACAGCUAAGGUCCCUAAACAUUGUUAAGUGGAAAAGGAUGUGGGGUUGCAUAAACAACCAGGAUGUUGGCUUAGAAGCAGCCACUCAUUAAAAGAGUGCGUAAUAGCUCACUGGUCGAGUGACCCUGCGCCGAAAAUUCAACGGGGCUAAACAAUGUACCGAAGCUUGGGAUUCUAGAUUUAUCUAGAGUGGUAGGAGAGCGUCGAAUAAGGGGUGAAGUCAGAGCGGAAGCGCUGGUGGACUUUAUUCGAGUGAGAAUGCCGGAAUGAGUAGCGAGAAUUAUGUGAGAAUCAUAAUGGCCGAAAAUCUAAGGUUUCCUGAGGAAGGUUCGUCCGCUCAGGGUAAGCCGGGGGCUAAGGCGAGGCGGAGACGCGUAGCCGAUGCACAUACGGUUGAAAUUCCGUAGCCACCGAAAGAUUUAAGUACAGGGACGCUUUAGAAGUGAUGUAGCCGGGCGAUGGUUGACCCGGUCGUAAGGGAUCGAAAAUGAGUAGAGAAGUCAUCAUGGAAAGAGACAAGAAAAGCUGUAUGAAUAUCUUAGGUGCCCGUACCGCAAACCGACACAGGUAGAUAGGAAGAAGAUUCUAAGGCCAACGGGAGAAGGGUUGUUAAGGAACUCGGCAAGUUGACCCCGUAACUUAGGGAUAAGGGGUGCUCAAGUGAUUGAGCCGCAGAGAAUAGGCCCAGGCGACUGUUUAGCAAAAACACAGGUCUCUGCUAAAUCGAAAGAUGACGUAUAGGGGCUGACACCUGCCCGGUGCCGGAAGGUUAAGAGGAGAUGUGAGAGCAUUGAAUUGAAGCCCCGGUAAACGGCGGCCGUAACUAUAACGGUCCUAAGGUAGCGAAAUUCCUUGUCAGGUAAGUUCUGACCCGCACGAAAGGCGUAAUGAUUUG
Molecule: ribosomal RNA, 1918 nt
Filed under: human metagenome
Description: bacterial LSU rRNA
Rfam family: Bacterial large subunit ribosomal RNA
Source: RNAcentral